Molecule: ribosomal RNA, 301 nt
Filed under: Opisthopatus cinctipes
Lineage: Eukaryota; Metazoa; Onychophora; Udeonychophora; Euonychophora; Peripatopsidae
Description: partial 12S ribosomal RNA
Source: RNAcentral
AAAACUCAAUAAUUUGACGGUUAUUAUUAUCAUAAAGGAGCUUGUAAUUUAAUCGAUACUACACGAACUAUUUUACUUAUAUUAAUUUUGUAUACCUCCGUACUAAUCUUAUACAAAAUUGUAUUAAUUAUUAAAAUAAUUUAAGUUUAUAUUUCAGGUCAAGGUGCAGUAUAUAUAAGAUAUUAUGCGCUUUAAUAACUAAUUAAUUAGAUGAAUUUAAUUUGAAACAGUUAAAUUAAGUGAAUUUAUAAGUAAAAAUAAAUAAAAUAUUUUUUUGAAAGUAAAAUAAUUAUGUACACAU